GAUGAACGCUAGCGAUAGGCUUAACACAUGCAAGUCGAGGGGCAGCAUGGUCUUAGCUUGCUAAGGCUGAUGGCGACCGGCGCACGGGUGCGUAACGCGUAUGCAACUUGCCUCACAGAGGGGGAUAACCCGUCGAAAGACGGACUAAUACCGCGUACACUCUAUGUUGGGCAUCCAAUGUAGAGGAAAUGAAAUUCGCUGUGAGAUAGGCAUGCGUCCCAUUAGCUAGUUGGUGAGGUAACGGCUCACCAAGGCGACGAUGGGUAGGGGAACUGAGAGGUUGAACCCCCACACUGGUACUGAGACACGGACCAGACUCCUACGGGAGGCAGCAGUGAGGAAUAUUGGUCAAUGGGCGAGAGCCUGAACCAGCCAAGUCGCGUGAAGGAUGACUGUCUUAUGGAUUGUAAACUUCUUUUAUACGGGAAUAACAAGAGUCACGUGUGGCUCCCUGCAUGUACCGUAUGAAUAAUCAUCGGCUAACUCCGUG
Molecule: ribosomal RNA, 490 nt
Filed under: uncultured bacterium
Lineage: Bacteria
Description: partial 16S ribosomal RNA
Rfam family: Bacterial small subunit ribosomal RNA
Source: RNAcentral